Molecule: ribosomal RNA, 707 nt
Filed under: Triticum aestivum (bread wheat)
Lineage: Eukaryota; Viridiplantae; Streptophyta; Magnoliopsida; Poales; Poaceae
Description: partial small subunit ribosomal RNA
Source: RNAcentral
CCCACCUCCUCUAUCUCUAUCCCCCCUCUCUCCGCCCCACCCCUCUCUCUCCCGCUCGUCUCUCCGAUUCCGGCGAGCUCCGGCGGGAUUCGACGGCGCCCAGCACACCCACGUGACCCCCUCCCCCCGCUCCUCCAUCCCCUCCGACCAGAUCCGAUGCGCGCGUGGGAUCAGAUGUUGCUAGUGGUAGUUCGGGGCGUGCGGGCGGACCAGAUCGACCUCAAGACCCUCGACGAGCAGCUCGACCGCCACCUCGCGCGCGCCAGGACUGGGAGGCUGACCCCGCCAGGCUCGUCGUCCGGGCCGUCAUCGCGCGCGGCACCUUCGGCACCGUCCACCGCGGCGCCUUCGACGGCCUCGACGUCGCAGUGAAACUGCUUGAUUGGGGGAGGAUGGUCAUAGGUCAAAGCAAGAAAUAACAGCAAUAAGAGCAGCAUUUUCGCAAGAAGUCUCCGUCUGGCAUAAGCUUGAUCAUCCAAAUGUAACUAAGAUACAACGGUCCGGCAAGCUGCUAUGGUGGUCAAGUGUGUGCUGCCUAGGAAAAUAGAUAUUUAGUUUUAGGUCAUUUAUUGUAAUUUCAGAUAUGGAGUGCUUGUCUUUAGUUUUUGUUUUUACUUUGUGAAACUUGCUACCUAUGAAUGAAUUGUGUAAUAUUGAUGAAACUAUGUAUAUGUAUGGAUGAAACUUGCUACUAUUGGUAACAUGUG